Molecule: ribosomal RNA, 1118 nt
Filed under: Streptococcus salivarius
Lineage: Bacteria; Bacillati; Bacillota; Bacilli; Lactobacillales; Streptococcaceae
Description: bacterial SSU rRNA
Rfam family: Bacterial small subunit ribosomal RNA
Source: RNAcentral
UGGCCGGCGGCUAUACUGCAGUAGAACGCUGAAGAGAGGAGCUUGCUCUUCUUGGAUGAGUUGCGAACGGGUGAGUAACGCGUAGGUAACCUGCCUUGUAGCGGGGGAUAACUAUUGGAAACGAUAGCUAAUACCGCAUAACAAUGGAUGACCCAUGUCAUUUAUUUGAAAGGGGCAAAUGCUCCACUACAAGAUGGACCUGCGUUGUAUUAGCUAGUAGGUGAGGUAACGGCUCACCUAGGCGACGAUACAUAGCCGACCUGAGAGGGUGAUCGGCCACACUGGGACUGAGACACGGCCCAGACUCCUACGGGAGGCAGCAGUAGGGAAUCUUCGGCAAUGGGGGCAACCCUGACCGAGCAACGCCGCGUGAGUGAAGAAGGUUUUCGGAUCGUAAAGCUCUGUUGUAAGUCAAGAACGAGUGUGAGAGUGGAAAGUUCACACUGUGACGGUAGCUUACCAGAAAGGGACGGCUAACUACGUGCCAGCAGCCGCGGUAAUACGUAGGUCCCGAGCGUUGUCCGGAUUUAUUGGGCGUAAAGCGAGCGCAGGCGGUUUGAUAAGUCUGAAGUUAAAGGCUGUGGCUCAACCAUAGUUCGCUUUGGAAACUGUCAAACUUGAGUGCAGAAGGGGAGAGUGGAAUUCCAUGUGUAGCGGUGAAAUGCGUAGAUAUAUGGAGGAACACCGGUGGCGAAAGCGGCUCUCUGGUCUGUAACUGACGCUGAGGCUCGAAAGCGUGGGGAGCGAACAGGAUUAGAUACCCUGGUAGUCCACGCCGUAAACGAUGAGUGCUAGGUGUUGGAUCCUUUCCGGGAUUCAGUGCCGCAGCUAACGCAUUAAGCACUCCGCCUGGGGAGUACGACCGCAAGGUUGAAACUCAAAGGAAUUGACGGGGGCCCGCACAAGCGGUGGAGCAUGUGGUUUAAUUCGAAGCAACGCGAAGAACCUUACCAGGUCUUGACAUCCCGAUGCUAUUUCUAGAGAUAGAAAGUUACUUCGGUACAUCGGGUGACAGGUGGGUGCAUGAUUUGUCGUCAGCUCGUGUCGUGAGAUGUUUGGGCUAGUCCCCGCACGAGCGGCAACCCCUAUGAUUAGUUUGCCAUUCAUUCCAGCUUGGG